UUUUCCAAGUGAUCAUGGACAUUAAGUUGAGGGUUAUUUUAGUAACUUCAGAUUAAUUAAGUGGAGUAGCUGCUUAUAAAAUGAAAAGAAAUAUUUUGUUAGAAUUCACGAGUACUGUGGGUUGGUGACUAGUUCCCUCCCUCCAAAAACAGAUUUCUGAUCUUCUUCCGGUCCCUCCAAUUCCCUUUCUAGUAACAAAAAGGUAUGCAUGGUAAAACUCUUUUAUUUCCUCCUCCUAGCCUGCGUGCUGCAUAUUUUUCUAAUUUGUGGUUUGUUGGGGACAAAAAAAUCAAGAAUGGAGUAUUAAUUACUGCAUAGCCACAACCAAAUUCUCUAUUCCCCAUAUUUUAGAGUUUUACCCCUCGAUCGAAUAACACCACGUAUUAGAAACUUCGGACAAAAGUAAGUAAUUUGGAUUGUAUUUACAGAUUGUUUUUUUUUUUGCCAUUGUAAUUAAAACUGUUUAACUAAUUAUAUUGGAUUCUAAAUCCUUUGAUUUUUUCUUAAAUUUCCACCGUGGCAUGACAUGGUGUUAUUGGAGGGUGUAAAAAUUUAAUUUUACGGUUCAUCCGUAUACAAUUUAUUCGAUCUCCUUAAGUUUGUCAUGACACUUGUUUUAAUUUAUAUCAUUUCUCGAGUUCUCUUUAGGUAGGUAAGGUUGUAAAAUGAGUAAACAGUUCGGGCUCGAUUCGUACCCGCUCGAAAAAAAAUUCAAUUUGAGCUCGACUCGAAAUAUAAAUGAGUCAAAUAUGAGCAAAUUUUAAAAUUCAAUAAUUUACUCGAACUUUCUCAAAUUACAAUUUUCUAUUGAUACUCGGAUCAUAUUCGUUCGUUCAAACUGCUCGGGCUCAAUUUGAGAUCGUGCUAGACUCAGUAGCUAAACGAGUUUCAAUCAAAUCUUAUUUUAUACUCGAUAAAUUUUGUAAACUAAAUAUGAAUAACUCAAUACUUGGCUCGAUCGACUCGGUUCAUUUAGCAGCUAGUAAUAACUUGUGAAUAACCAACCUAGCUAUUGUUCCAAAUAUUGGUACGUAGUCAGUGAGGAAGAAUGAAGUCGCCUAAGAACCUAAUAAAUAAAUUAAUUAUGGCACUAUAUAUGUUUUCUGUGUUUGCAGUUCUUAAUGUGUUUCUCUUAAUUUUAGUUUUUUCUGGUAGGGAUUUUAAAAAAAAAAAAUUAAUAUAUAUACUAAGCAAAUUGUAAAGG
Molecule: long non-coding RNA, 1204 nt
Filed under: Panax ginseng (ginseng)
Lineage: Eukaryota; Viridiplantae; Streptophyta; Magnoliopsida; Apiales; Araliaceae
Description: long non-coding RNA (PGIN_LNC007500)
Source: RNAcentral